Schizosaccharomyces pombe (fission yeast) is the source of this 755-nucleotide non-coding RNA. The record is from the annotation of a GenBank genome assembly. NCBI's taxonomy places the organism in Eukaryota, Fungi, Ascomycota, Schizosaccharomycetes, Schizosaccharomycetales, Schizosaccharomycetaceae.
AUAUGUAAAAUUAGAGAUGCAAUCGGGUCUCAAAAAUAUCACAGGACUGAGAAGAAAUCACAAACAGUGAAGUGAGAGGUUACAAAAACAUUAAACAUUAAAAAUAAAAAGGCACCAAAGGAUACCUCUCAUCUAAGGAAGUAUUAAUUAAGCAGAUUCACUACUUUCACUUUCAUUGUCACUUUCAGAAUCGGAAACAUUAGCAGCGUUAUUUGACUCGGGAGAAGUGGGAGACGUUUUGCCAGCAAAACGAUCUAAUUGUUGUUGCAAACGUCUGAUUUUUUCAGCUUGCUCCGUUUCAGAAAGUACGCGGCCCUUUUUCUUCUCUGGCUUAGUUGGCAUAAGGACGGGUGAAGCAGGUUCAGAGGAAUCGGCGUCGGGUUUGCAAACAUAGCGGUAUAUACGAUGGAAUACUUCUGGUUUCAUAUUGCCGACAUCAAUUUCAAUUUCAUCAGUAUCACGAAGCCAAGGCAUCUCUUCACGUAAAAUUUCAGCGACAUUUGAAAGUUGUUCAGCACUGAGGUAAUUACAGCGCUCGGCAAGCUCAUUUUGCAUAGCAUAGGUAAUAGGACCAUAUUCCUUGGUGAGAUCACGGCGACGAGGUUUCCUCAUACGGUUCAUCUUUUUUGCCUUCAUUGCCUCCAAUGUGUCCUGUAGCAUAGAUAUCUGCUUAUCCACAGCAGCAAACUUGGCUCCAUUGAUUUCUUCCUCGGACAUCAAAGCCUCCUCUUCCUCACCAUUAUCGAAUAAAGCAU